RNAcentral lists this ribosomal RNA (1235 nucleotides) under human gut metagenome. Its description in RNAcentral is "bacterial LSU rRNA". It matches the Rfam family "Bacterial large subunit ribosomal RNA", at positions 753 to 1985 of the family's 2925-position model. The record is from RNAcentral.
GUGGUAACACACACUGGAGGACCGAACCGACUAGUGUUGCAAAAUUAGCGGAUGAGCUGUGGAUAGGGGUGAAAGGCCAAACAAAUCUGGAGAUAGCUGGUUCUCCCCGAAAACUAUUGAGGUAGUGCCUCGUGUGUCGCUCCAGGGGGUAGAGCACUGUUUUGGCUAGGGGGACAUGGAGUCUUACCAAACCAAGGCAAACUCCGAAUACCUGGAAGCGUAAGCACGGGAGACAGAGCACCGGGUGCUAACGUCCGGACUCAAAAGGGAAACAACCCAGACCGCCGGCUAAGGUCCCCAAUAACAGCUAAGUGGAAAACGAAGUGGAAAGGCCGUGACAACCAGGAAGUUGGCUUAGAAGCAGCCAUCCUUCAAAGAAAGCGUAAUAGCUCACUGGUCGAGUCCUUCUGCGCGGAAGAUGUAACGGGGCUAAGCUGUUAACCGAAGCCGCGGAUGCACUGAUUAUUCAGUGCGUGGUAGGGGAGCGUUCUGUAAGUCUGCGAAGGCGGUUCGAGAGGACUGCUGGAGAUAUCAGAAGUGCGAAUGCUGACAUGAGUAACGUUAAAGCAGGUGAAAAGCCUGCUCGCCGUAAGCCCAAGGAUUCCUGCUCUACGUUCAUCGGAGCAGGGUGAGUCGGCUCCUAAGGUCAGGCCGAAAGGCGUAGCCGAUGGGAAUCAGGUUAAUAUUCCUGAACCUGCGUCAGAUGCGAUGGGGGGACGGAGCAUGAAAGAUCAUCCGGGUGUUGGAUGUCCCGGUUGUUGAGCGUAGGAGGUCUGCAGGCAAAUCCGCAGACGCAUCUCCAAGGCAAAGACACGUGCCGCCACGGCGGCGAAGUGAUCGGAAGUGCUUCCAAGAAAAGCCUCUAAGCACCAGUCUGGCGCGGACCGUACCGCAAACCGACACUGGUGGGCGAGCUGAAUAUGCUCAGGCGCUUGAGAGAACUCGGGAGAAGGAACUCGGCAAAUUGACACCGUAACUUCGGAAGAAGGUGUGCCGUAGUAGCGUGAGAGGAGAGACACCUUGAGCGUGAAUCGGUCUCAGAGAAUAGGUGGCUGCGACUGUUUAUUAAAAACACAGCACUCUGCAAAGUCGAAAGACGACGUAUAGGGUGUGAUGCCUGCCCGGUGCUGGAAGAUUAAUUGAUGGGGUGAGAGCCCUUGAUCGAAGUCCCAGUAAACGGCGGCCGUAACUAUAACGGUCCUAAGGUAGCGAAAUUCCUUGUCGGGUAAGUUCCG